This is a long non-coding RNA of Sarcophilus harrisii (Tasmanian devil), 1918 nucleotides long. RefSeq lists it as uncharacterized. The record is from RefSeq and is a predicted model, not a curated record. The transcript has 2 exons. Lineage: Eukaryota; Metazoa; Chordata; Mammalia; Dasyuromorphia; Dasyuridae.
GGGGAGAGGAAAAAGGCAAAGAGAGGAAGUGACGCAAAGGAGGGUGGAAUCAGCUGCUGUCAGUCUGAGGAGGGGGAGGAGGGGUGUCUCUUCCAACCCGUCUGGUCUACUCAAUUGAAUAUACACCCCCUCCUCCAAGUUUCCCUCCCUAAAAUCAGAGGGUUCCCCAUAAUUUCCCGAGAACAACACUAUGGUCUCAGUCGCUAUCCCCACCCUUCCGCAGACCCUAACCCUACGCUACAUCUCCCGGAUUCGCUCCCUCUCCCUUCUCCCCGCCCCCUCCGCUGCAGACAGGCUAGGAGGCUGCUCCCAGACGCCAACUCUGCAGCUCUUGCACAAUGUACAUUGUACAGGUGUUAAAAAUGGGAAAGGUCCCAGCUACACCCCAAGCACGUUCCCCUCUGUUCUCCCCUCGCCCCUUCCCCCACUGCAUCUCUCCAGGCACCGUCCCUGUCUCCAUGACAACAGUCUUCUAUUUCCACCCCCCCCCCCCGCCAUUCCCAUCACCAUUCUACUAGUCAAGUCAAUGUCCCUCUUUCUCCUCCCCAAUACGCCCAGGACUCUCCACCCUCUGGCACCUGUCUUUCCUCCCCCCUCCCUCCACGCGAACCCACCCACUAAUCUAGUGAUUUGAGACUCGAGGCAAUUGUCCAAAUACGCCGUAUCUGGUAAUUGAAACAAAAGUGGAGGACUUGAAUUAUCCGCAUAAUUGCCCCUCAAUCUUCUCUUUGCUACUAAAGACCUACAGUGGCGAUGUCAACUUGUCCUUUCUCUUCAGAGCCCCUUUCAUUCGCAUCCACCUGCCCCCUGCUCCUUAAUACAAACCUGGUAUCAGCUCCCCAGGAUCCCUCUCCACCCCGCCCUCAUUCCCAGCCAGACCGCCCCCACUAUUCUCCGAUUCCCACUGCAGCGGAUUAAUUUGCGGGGACCAGAGGGGGAUCGAGCUCAGUACAUGUGGCCGAGGAGUUAGUCCGGCUGGACGGAGGCUCCCGAAUGCACAGAGUUGGCGCCUUGCGCCGAGACUGCGCCAUAUCUCCAGUUGGCACAAGCCGAGGCCCGCUCGCUCGAAGCCCGAGGACUGCAGUCUUCAGCGAAGUCGCCGCCGAACCCGCAGCCGUUUGGCCCGAGGCAGCGCGUUUCCAGUCGGGAUCUAUUCUGUCCGUUCGGCGCGGAUAAAGGGCAGGACCGGGGCGGGGGGUGGGGCUGGGAGGAAAAAGUAAAGAAUUGGCAGCGGACUAAGCUCAAAGAUACUCUGAGGCAAGGGGAAGGAGGAAAGGAGGCGCUGUCAGAAGAGAUCUCUCCCACUUUCUCUCUUGGUAAUCUUAUUUGAAGAUACAACUCCCACUUUUUAGGAUGCAAGACUUAGCUACAACUGCCGAACUGGAAAGUGUUUACUUCCCCAUAAAUGGGGCGGGAGAGGGGAAGCAAAACAAAUAAAAACCUCGACGCAACUGACUUGGAGAUGGGACAGGAAACCCUGUGCGGAAAACUCGCCUCCUGUCCAAAGAAGUGUCUUGACGACUGUAUGGAUGGGAAUAUGAGGGGGAGGGCGGGAGGAGGUAAUGCAGAACUGCUCUUCCUCUACACAUUCUCCUUCCCCCACUCUCCACUGCCUUUAGACAAGAAGAAUGUGGGUGCCUCGUCUAACCUCCAGGGCAUUAAGACUUUGGCGCUAGGUGUUGAGACCCUGUCUCUUGAAAUCUCUCUCCUAACGAAAUAUCUGCAGAUUGCGUAAAAAUCUCCUUUAGGAGCCAAACAAGUUGCUUGAGAAAGGCCAAUAGACAGCAAAGUUCAUAAUCAUAAAAAGUCAUUCACGGUUACAAAUAGUUUCGACGGACGGUGCCAGCGAUACAGCUGUUUCUGUUUAAGCUUAAAUACUUUCCAACAGUUUGGGCAGUAAAAAUAAAGUAGACCUCAA